GACGAACGCUGGCGGCGUGCUUAACACAUGCAAGUCGUACGGUAAGGCCCUUUCGGGGGUACACGAGUGGCGAACGGGUGAGUAACACGUGAGUAACCUGCCCACAACUUUGGGAUAACGCUAGGAAACUGGCGCUAAUACUGGAUAUGUGCUCCUGCUGCAUGGUGGGGGUUGGAAAGCUCCGGCGGUUGUGGAUGGACUCGCGGCCUAUCAGCUUGUUGGUGGGGUAGUGGCCUACCAAGGCGGCGACGGGUAGCCGGCCUGAGAGGGUGACCGGCCACAUUGGGACUGAGAUACGGCCCAGACUCCUACGGGAGGCAGCAGUGGGGAAUAUUGCACAAUGGGCGCAAGCCUGAUGCAGCAACGCCGCGUGCGGGAUGACGGCCUUCGGGUUGUAAACCGCUUUCAGCAGGGACGAAGCUUUUUGUGACGGUACCUGCAGAAGAAGCACCGGCUAACUACGUG
Molecule: ribosomal RNA, 465 nt
Filed under: uncultured bacterium
Lineage: Bacteria
Description: partial 16S ribosomal RNA
Rfam family: Bacterial small subunit ribosomal RNA
Source: RNAcentral